AAUUUGCAGGUUGAGACUGGGGUGAUUCUGAUCUACUGCUGUGCUGCUCCUAGGGUGUCUUCUGCAGAUGUGACAUUGGUGAUCCGGUGACUCUUCCUGCUCAAGGAAAGCAAUGAGUGGCAGCAGAGGUGCUCAUGAUCUGCCAGCAGACUUGGGAAGGCAAUGAGACAAUGAGGACGUCUUAAAGAGUUGCAGAUGGAUGGAAACAAUCUGUGUACCUCACAUUUGGCUUAAUGUACCUACAGGCUCAUUUUGGAGAGAAAUCAUCAUGAUGUCGUUUGCCCAUGGAUGGAUGUCUCAUCUGUCUCACUUAUAUUUCCUGUUGACCUGCUCUAUCCUGACCCGUUCUGACAGCCAUUGCUUACCAUUCUGGUUCCCAGCCAUUGCCGGUGUGGAACUACAGAGGAGUACUCAAGGGAAGAGGCAAAUCCAGAGUAUUCUUUGCUGUAAACCUGCUUGGUCCCUGGUAAAGACCUGCCUGUGUCAUUCUCUUCUACCCUGAUAAAGGAAGAUAUUUUUUUGAACUAUGAUAGUACAGUUUUCACUUUCUUUCAUCAAGUGUAGACACACUUCGGAUGCUAU
Molecule: long non-coding RNA, 582 nt
Filed under: Phasianus colchicus (ring-necked pheasant)
Lineage: Eukaryota; Metazoa; Chordata; Aves; Galliformes; Phasianidae
Description: lncRNA (ENSPCLG00000006249.1)
Source: RNAcentral